This 169-nucleotide unclassified non-coding RNA is filed under the name soil metagenome. RNAcentral describes it as "partial internal transcribed spacer 1". The record is from RNAcentral.
CUGCUUGCUCAUGGCCGCCUGGAGUUCUGCUCCGGCGCGGUACGGCAACACUACCCUUGUCUAUACAUACCUUUUGUUAUUUCCCUCGGCGGGGUCACGCCCGUCGAUGGGGACACUAUAAACCCUUGUAUCUUAAGCAUCAAACUUCCGAAACAAAACAAAAUAAUCA